RNAcentral lists this ribosomal RNA (1320 nucleotides) under uncultured bacterium. RNAcentral describes it as "bacterial SSU rRNA". It matches the Rfam family "Bacterial small subunit ribosomal RNA", at positions 27 to 1381 of the family's 1533-position model. The record is from RNAcentral.
GGAUGAACGUUGGCGGUGUGCCUAAUACAUGCAAGUCGAACGAAGAGAGUAGCAAUACAAUCUUAGUGGCGAACGGGUGAGUAACGCGUUGGUGAUCUGCCUCGAAGUGUGGAAUAACCUCCCGAAAGGGGAGCUAAUACCGCAUAGUCUCUCAGGGUUUAGAAAUCUGAGAGUAAAGGAUUUAUUCGCUUCGAGAGGAGCCUGCGUCCCAUCAGCUCGUUGGUAGGGUAACGGCCUACCAAGGCUAUGACGGGUAGGGGACCUGAGAGGGUGGCCCCCCACAAUGGAACUGAAACACGGUCCAUACACCUACGGGUGGCAGCAGUAGGGAAUAUUAGAAAUGGGCGAAAGCCUGAUCUAGCAACACCGCGUGUGCGAUGAAGGCCUUCGGGUCGUAAAGCACUUUUUGGAGGGAAUAGGAAGGAAGGUACCUCCAGAAUAAGUCUCGGCUAACUACGUGCCAGCAGCCGCGGUAACACGUAGGAGGCAAACGUUAUCCGGAUUCACUGGGCGUAAAGCGCGUGUAGGUGGUUCUGUAAGUAGGGCGUGAAAGCUCCCGGCUCAACUGGAGAGGCCGUACUAAACUGCAGAGCUAGAGGAUGGUAGAGGGAGGUGGAAUUCCAGGUGUAGUGGUGAAAUGCGCAGAUAUCUGGAGGAACACCAGUGGCGAAGGCGGCCUCCUGGACCAUUCCUGACACUCAGACGCGAAAGCUAGGGUAGCAAACGGAAUUAGAGACUCCGGUAGUCCUAGCCCUAAACGAUGCAGACUAGGCGUCGGCGGUUUAAUCACCGUCGGUGUCCAAGCUAACGCGAUAAGUCUGCCGCCUGAGGACUACGGCCGCAAGGCUAAAACUCAAAGGAAUCGACGGGUCCCCGCACAAGCAGCGGAGCGUGUGGUUUAAUUCGAUGCUCCGCGAAAAACCUUACCUGGGUUUGACAUAACAGUGGUAGAGAAGUGAAAACGGACCGACCCCUCGGGGAGCUGUUACAGGUGUUGCAUGGCUGUCGUCAGCUCGUGUCGUGAGAUGUUCGGUUAAGUCCGCUAACGAGCGCAACCCGCGCUGUGUGUUACAAGUGUCACACAGUACCGCCGGUAUUAAGUCGGAGGAAGGUGCGGAUGACGUCAAGUCAGCAUGACCUUUAUAUCCAGGGCUACACACACGCUACAAUGGUCAGAACAAUAGGUUGCCAAGCCGCAAGGCGGAGCCAAUCCUCCAAAUCUGGCCUCAGUUCAGAUUGCAGGCUGCAACUCGCCUGCAUGAAGUCGGAGUUGCUAGUAACCGCAGGUCAGCAUACUGCGGUGAAUACGUUCCCGGGGAU